CAGAGGUGCAAGCGUUAAUCGGAAUUACUGGGCGUAAAGCGAGCGUAGGUGGCUUGAUAAGUCAGAUGUGAAAUCCCCGGGCUUAACCUGGGAACUGCAUCUGAUACUGUUGGGCUAGAGUAGGUGAGAGGGAGGUAGAAUUUCAGGUGUAGCGGUGAAAUGCGUAGAGAUCUGAAGGAAUACCGAUGGCGAAGGCAGCCUCCUGGCAUCAUACUGACACUGAGGUUCGAAAGCGUGGGUAGCAAACAGGAUU
Molecule: ribosomal RNA, 253 nt
Filed under: uncultured bacterium
Lineage: Bacteria
Description: partial 16S ribosomal RNA
Rfam family: Bacterial small subunit ribosomal RNA
Source: RNAcentral